RNAcentral lists this ribosomal RNA (403 nucleotides) under bacterium. Its description in RNAcentral is "partial 16S ribosomal RNA". It matches the Rfam family "Bacterial small subunit ribosomal RNA", at positions 355 to 776 of the family's 1533-position model. The record is from RNAcentral.
UGGGGAAUAUUGCACAAUGGGGGAAACCCUGAUGCAGCGACGCCGCGUGAACGAAGAAGGUAUUCGUAUCGUAAAGUUCUGUCCUAUGGGAAGAUAAUGACAGUACCAUAGAAGAAAGCUCCGGCUAAAUACGUGCCAGCAGCCGCGGUAAUACGUAUGGAGCGAGCGUUGUCCGGAAUUAUUGGGCGUAAAGGGUACGCAGGCGGUUUAAUAAGUCGAAUGUUAAAGAUCGGGGCUCAACCCCGUAAAGCAUUGGAAACUGAUAAACUUGAGUAGUGGAGAGGAAAGUGGAGUUCCUAGUGUUGUGGUGAAAUACGUAGAUAUUAGGAGGAAUACCAGUAGCGAAGGCGACUUUCUGGACACAAACUGACGCUGAGGUACGAAAGCGUGGGGAGCAAACAGG